GUUUCCGUGGUGUAGGGGUUAUCACGUGCGCCUCACACACGUAAGGUCCCCGGCUCGAUCCCGGGCGGAAACA
This 73-nucleotide transfer RNA is filed under the name Ixodes scapularis (black-legged tick). RNAcentral describes it as "tRNA-Val". Lineage: Eukaryota; Metazoa; Arthropoda; Arachnida; Ixodida; Ixodidae. The record is from RNAcentral.